RNAcentral lists this ribosomal RNA (2689 nucleotides) under Gephyrocapsa ericsonii. RNAcentral's name for it is "large subunit ribosomal RNA". It matches the Rfam family "Bacterial large subunit ribosomal RNA". Lineage: Eukaryota; Haptophyta; Isochrysidales; Noelaerhabdaceae. The record is from RNAcentral.
CUAAUAAAGGUAAACUAAAUAUUUAGAUCGAGGCGUAAGUAAUUUUUACGAAAAAUAAAAAAAAUUAAGGUGUAACCUUAUUUAUUCCCUCAAAAGAAAACUUAUUUUAAAAAUUAUUAAAUUUUUAAAAUUGCUUAAAUAUUAAAGAUUUAUGUAAAAACAAAAGCGAAUUGAAACAUCUUAGUAGCUUGGAAAAAAAUCAAAAGAGAGUUCGAAAGUAAUGGCGAAUGAAAUCGAAUCAGUUUAAGGUUAAUAAUUUUAAAAUAAUGAAAUGUUGCUCAUUUGAAACAAAGUAAAUAAUUAAGGCUUGUAAUUGCAAAAUUAUUUUCCGUUGAUCGAAGCGUAAGAAACUAUGUUUCGUUGUAGAAUUAACUACUUAACAAAAAAUCUAAAUUUUUAUAGUGUAAAGUACCGUGAGGGAAAGUAAUUAACUUUGGGUAGCCUUUAAUUUAUUAGCUUAUUAACAAUUUUUUUAAUAAAAAUGUGUACCUUUUGCAUUAUGGUUCAGGGAGUUAAAUUUAAUAGCAAGCUUAAGUAAAAUUAUAAAGCGUAAAAAAAUUGUUUUGGUAGUUAUUAAAUUUAGACACGAAACCGCUGUGAUCUAAUCAAAUUCAGGUUGAAAAUUUAGUAAAAAUAAAUGGGAAGACCGAAGUAGUGUUUGUUGCAAAAAACUUAUGUGAAAUUUGAUUUGGAGUGAAAGGCUAAUCAAACGCGGCGAUUGCUUGUUUUCUGCGAAAUUUUUUUUAGAAAAGCGUUUAAAAAUUAAAUUUAUAAGGUAAAGCACUGGUUUUUUUGAGGUUGAUUAAUUUCAUUACAAGAUUUUUCCAAACUCUGAAUUUAUAGAUAAUAUUUUAAACAGUCAGAUUGUUAGCGAGAAAGUUGAUAAUCAAGAGAGAAACAACUCCAAAUGAUUUUUAAGGUUUUAAAAUAAACUUUUAAAUAAAGAAAAUUUUUAGUUUGAACAACAUUGAAGUAAGCUUAGAAACAGCUAUCUUUUUUAUAAAAACGUAACAGUUUCAAUGCAAACACAAAAAAUUGUCCAAAAUAUAAUGAAAUUUAGGUUUUACCGAAAAAUCAUAAUAAAUAUAAAGUAUUUAUUGGUAGCAGAACGAUUUGUUUUUUUUUACCUUUUUGUGAAAAAUUGUAUGUAAAAACUCAAAUUCGAUAAUCCUGAAAUUAGUAACAAAAAAAGUUAUAAAACUUUUCACCAGAUAUUUUAGGUUUUCUUCGUUAAAUUAUAUUUCGUUGAGUUAUACGAACUCUUAUUUUUAGGUAAAUACUUUAAAAAGAUGAGCAAUUGUAAGGCAUAUCAGAUUUUAUUAACAAUUAAAUUCUUAUCAAAAACAAGAAUAAUGAGCUUUUUCUUUAUUUAAGGUUAAAAGAUUUCGCAAGUGAUUCUUCGGGAAAAAUUGAACUUGAUUUUUGUCUUACAAAAAUUCGUAUUUAAACCAAAAAAGGUUAAUUUGUUUAGCAAAAUAAUGGUGUAAAAAUUAAAGAAAAAUAUGGAACUCGGCAAACUAGCUCCGAACCUUAGGAAGAAGGAGUGGCAAUUUUAACAAAUAAAUUGCUGUAAAAAAAGGAAAUCCACAACUGUUUAUUAAAAACACAUGAUCAUGCUAAUUUUUAAAAGAAAGUAUAUGAUCUGACUUGUGCUAAAUGCUUGAAAAUUGAAAAAAAAAUUGUUUUGCUUUUUUAUAAAAACGAGCUAAUAGCAGUCUUAUUCCUGAGGAUUGUAAUGUAGCGAAAUUCCUUGUCCACUAAAUAUGGUCCCGCAUGAAUCAAGUAAUGAUGGAUUUGCUGUCAUGUUUUUCUGUUUUGUGAAUUUGAAGUAGGAGUGCAGAUUCUCUUUUCCAAAAUUAAGACGAAAAGACCCUAUAAAACUUUACUAAAAACAAUUAUUGCUAAAAUUCAACAUUCUGUUCAGAGUAAACAAGAGCUUAUGAAAUUUUUUAUUUAAAAAGUUGAAGCGACGCUGAGAAAUUGUUCUUUAUUGGAUUAAAGCUAAUUUUUUAAAAAGACAGUGAUUGUUCGUUAGUUUCUUUGGGGCGAAGUUCUUUUAAAAGGUAACAAAGAAGUGCAAAGGCAAAUUAAUUUGAAAAAUUUCAUUUUAAAACGAAAAAGUAUAUAUUUGCUUAACUGUAAGGUUGAUAUACCAAGCAGAAAUUAACGUUGGCUUUAUUGAACCAACUUUUUUGAUUAAAAAAGAAGUUGUUCAUCAGAUAAAAGUUACUUUAGGGAUAACAGAAUUAUAAAAAUCAAGCGAUCAGAGCGAAAUUUUUGUUUGUGACCUCGAUGUCGAUUUGUGGUAUCCUCGAGGCGAAGAAGUUUCGAAGGGUUUAACUGUUCGUUAAAUAAAACCGCACAUGAAUUGGGUUUAAAACGACGUAAGUCAGUUUUGUUUCUAUCUAAUUUUGGAUUAAAACUGAGGGGGUUCUUGUUUAGUAUGAGAAGAAUAAUAAGAAGAAGCAAAUUGUGAUUGGUUAUUUUCUAAAAAUAUUCAACUAGCAACGCUUUAUAAAAUAAAAAAUGAAAGCAUCUAUUUUUAUUUAAGUUUUCCCCAAUAAAGGUUUUAUUUCUUUAUAAAAUGCUAAAAAUAGUAGUUUAAGACUAAAACUUAGAUCGGCAACUAGUUUUUCUUGUAAAUUUAAGCUUAGUUGUACGAAUUAAUUUAAAUUAAUACUUAGUCUUU